GCUGACAACAUGAGGCACGUGCUAAUAAGCCAAUAGUAAGUGCUUUAUGUUUUGGCAG
Molecule: microRNA precursor, 58 nt
Filed under: Xenopus laevis (African clawed frog)
Lineage: Eukaryota; Metazoa; Chordata; Amphibia; Anura; Pipidae
Description: Xla-Mir-430-o4a_pre stem-loop
Source: RNAcentral